UAGCCAUUGUGGGCCUGUGGUGAGGAAGCGGCAUUCGGUUGGCCAAACUGUGCAAUGAAACGAAAAAAAUUGCGUUAAUUUACAACGACAAAAACAACAGUAUUUUUAGCAAAAUUGCAACAUUCGCAGCGAGCUUUCGAAUAAGAGAACAAUUUUUGCAUACUCACCUCGGCGCUGGAUGCAACCAAAGCGCUGCUGUUACCUGAUGCCACACCCGAUUCAUCUAAAGAGACAUCGUUUGGUGGACAUGAGUCUGUGGGGCUGGCGGUUAUGUCCGUCGCCACCGAAAUUUCCUGUUGUAUUUGCUCGAUAUCCGCUGUCGUAUUGGCAGUGGGCAACGAUUCGCUCGUAUUGUCGUUUAAUGGGGAUUCUAAAAAUUGUGUCACAGCACCGUCAAGUUCUUCUUGUGGUGAUUCUUUAACUUCGAUUCUGCCGUCCUUGUUAACUUCAACCUAUUUCCGUUGCAGACGAAAUUUCGGUUGGAAGUGGUUUCGCAGGUUAAUUUUAGUUAGAAAGCGCAUUGAAUCAUUAGAGUUACAAGCAAUUGAAGAAAGCGAGCCAAAACGAAGAAAAAAUACCUUUGUAUGCAAAAUCUGUACGAGUUGUCACUGCCAAUCGUUUAAUGAUUCGGAAAAUGUCUUAUAAAAACAUAAACAAUUAAAGAGUGAAAUUAACAAAAACAAGGUAAAACAAGGAAACCCCGAAUUUAGAUUUGAUAUUUAUGAAUAUUUUUCUUCUCAGUGUACUGACGCUCACCGCUAACGCAUCAUAAUUGACGGGAUA
This is a non-coding RNA of Bactrocera oleae (olive fruit fly), 783 nucleotides long. The record is from RefSeq and is a predicted model, not a curated record. Lineage: Eukaryota; Metazoa; Arthropoda; Insecta; Diptera; Tephritidae.